GGUUAAGCGACUAAGCGUACACGGUGGAUGCCCUGGCAGUCAGAGGCGAUGAAGGACGUGCUAAUCUGCGAUAAGCGUCGGUAAGGUGAUAUGAACCGUUAUAACCGGCGAUUUCCGAAUGGGGAAACCCAGUGUGAUUCGUCACACUAUCAUUAACUGAAUCCAUAGGUUAAUGAGGCGAACCGGGGGAACUGAAACAUCUAAGUACCCCGAGGAAAAGAAAUCAACCGAGAUUCCCCCAGUAGCGGCGAGCGAACGGGGAGGAGCCCAGAGCCUGAAUCAGUGUGUGUGUUAGUGGAAGCGUCUGGAAAGGCGCGCGAUACAGGGUGACAGCCCCGUACACAAAAAUGCACAUACUGUGAGCUCGAUGAGUAGGGCGGGACACGUGGUAUCCUGUCUGAAUAUGGGGGGACCAUCCUCCAAGGCUAAAUACUCCUGACUGACCGAUAGUGAACCAGUACCGUGAGGGAAAGGCGAAAAGAACCCCGGCGAGGGGAGUGAAAAAGAACCUGAAACCGUGUACGUACAAGCAGUGGGAGCCUCUUUAUGGGGUGACUGCGUACCUUUUGUAUAAUGGGUCAGCGACUUAUAUUCUGUAGCAAGGUUAACCGAAUAGGGGAGCCGAAGGGAAACCGAGUCUUAACUGGGCGUUAAGUUGCAGGGUAUAGACCCGAAACCCGGUGAUCUAGCCAUGGGCAGGUUGAAGGUUGGGUAACACUAACUGGAGGACCGAACCGACUAAUGUUGAAAAAUUAGCGGAUGACUUGUGGCUGGGGGUGAAAGGCCAAUCAAACCGGGAGAUAGCUGGUUCUCCCCGAAAGCUAUUUAGGUAGCGCCUCGUGAAUUCAUCUCCGGGGGUAGAGCACUGUUUCGGCAAGGGGGUCAUCCCGACUUACCAACCCGAUGCAAACUGCGAAUACCGGAGAAUGUUAUCACGGGAGACACUCGGCGGGUGCUAACGUCCGUCGUGAAGAGGGAAACAACCCAGACCGCCAGCUAAGGUCCCAAAGUCAUGGUUAAGUGGGAAACGAUGUGGGAAGGCCCAGACAGCCAGGAUGUUGGCUUAGAAGCAGCCAUCAUUUAAAGAAAGCGUAAUAGCUCACUGGUCGAGUCGGCCUGCGCGGAAGAUGUAACGGGGCUAAACCAUGCACCGAAGCUGCGGCAGCGACACUAUGUGUUGUUGGGUAGGGGAGCGUUCUGUAAGCCUGUGAAGGUGUACUGUGAGGUAUGCUGGAGGUAUCAGAAGUGCGAAUGCUGACAUAAGUAACGAUAAAGCGGGUGAAAAGCCCGCUCGCCGGAAGACCAAGGGUUCCUGUCCAACGUUAAUCGGGGCAGGGUGAGUCGACCCCUAAGGCGAGGCCGAAAGGCGUAGUCGAUGGGAAACAGGUUAAUAUUCCUGUACUUGGUGUUACUGCGAAGGGGGGACGGAGAAGGCUAUGUUGGCCGGGCGACGGUUGUCCCGGUUUAAGCGUGUAGGCUGAUUUUCCAGGCAAAUCCGGAAAAUCAAGGCUGAGGCGUGAUGACGAGGCACUACGGUGCUGAAGCAACAAAUGCCCUGCUUCCAGGAAAAGCCUCUAAGCAUCAGGUAACAUCAAAUCGUACCCCAAACCGACACAGGUGGUCAGGUAGAGAAUACCAAGGCGCUUGAGAGAACUCGGGUGAAGGAACUAGGCAAAAUGGUGCCGUAACUUCGGGAGAAGGCACGCUGAUAUGUAGGUGAAGCGACUUGCUCGUGGAGCUGAAAUCAGUCGAAGAUACCAGCUGGCUGCAACUGUUUAUUAAAAACACAGCACUGUGCAAACACGAAAGUGGACGUAUACGGUGUGACGCCUGCCCGGUGCCGGAAGGUUAAUUGAUGGGGUUAGCGGUAACGCGAAGCUCUUGAUCGAAGCCCCGGUAAACGGCGGCCGUAACUAUAACGGUCCUAAGGUAGCGAAAUUCCUUGUCGGGUAAGUUCCGACCUGCACGAAUGGCGUAAUGAUGGCCAGGCUGUCUCCACCCGAGACUCAGUGAAAUUGAACUCGCUGUGAAGAUGCAGUGUACCCGCGGCAAGACGGAAAGACCCCGUGAACCUUUACUAUAGCUUGACACUGAACAUUGAGCCUUGAUGUGUAGGAUAGGUGGGAGGCUUUGAAGUGUGGACGCCAGUCUGCAUGGAGCCGACCUUGAAAUACCACCCUUUAAUGUUUGAUGUUCUAACGUUGGCCCCUGAUCGGGGUUGCGGACAGUGUCUGGUGGGUAGUUUGACUGGGGCGGUCUCCUCCUAAAGAGUAACGGAGGAGCACGAAGGUUGGCUAAUCUCGGUCGGACAUCAGGAGGUUAGUGCAAUGGCAUAAGCCAGCUUGACUGCGAGCGUGACGGCGCGAGCAGGUGCGAAAGCAGGUCAUAGUGAUCCGGUGGUUCUGAAUGGAAGGGCCAUCGCUCAACGGAUAAAAGGUACUCCGGGGAUAACAGGCUGAUACCGCCCAAGAGUUCAUAUCGACGGCGGUGUUUGGCACCUCGAUGUCGGCUCAUCACAUCCUCGGGGCUGAAGUAGGUCCCAAGGGUAUGGCUGUUCGCCAUUUAAAGUGGUACGCGAGCUGGGUUUAGAACGUCGUGAGACAGUUCGGUCCCUAUCUGCCGUGGGCGCUGGAGAACUGAGGGGGGCUGCUCCUAGUACGAGAGGACCGGAGUGGACGCAUCACUGGUGUUCGGGUUGUCAUGCCAAUGGCACUGCCCGGUAGCUAAAUGCGGAAGAGAUAAGUGCUGAAAGCAUCUAAGCACGAAACUUGCCCCGAGAUGAGUUCUCCCUGACUCCUUGAGAGUCCUGAAGGAACGUUGAAGACGACGACGUUGAUAGGCCGGGUGUGUAAGCGCAGCGAUGCGUUGAGCUAACCGGUACUAAUGAACCGUGAGGCUUAACCUU
RNAcentral lists this ribosomal RNA (2905 nucleotides) under Escherichia coli. RNAcentral's name for it is "23S ribosomal RNA". It matches the Rfam family "Bacterial large subunit ribosomal RNA". The record is from RNAcentral. Lineage: Bacteria; Pseudomonadati; Pseudomonadota; Gammaproteobacteria; Enterobacterales; Enterobacteriaceae.